This 200-nucleotide unclassified non-coding RNA is filed under the name Tremellomycetes sp. RNAcentral's name for it is "partial internal transcribed spacer 2". The record is from RNAcentral. Lineage: Eukaryota; Fungi; Basidiomycota; Tremellomycetes.
UUAAGUUUAGCGGGUAGUCCUACCUGAUUUGAGGUCAGAGUCAAAAAUUGCCCGAGGGCGAUUGUAAGCAGUCAUCACAACCUUCACCGACGAAACUUAUUACGCCUAAGUCUUUUAAGGCGAGCCGGCAGAGCGGCAACACCCAAGUCCAAUCUCCUCGGAAACCCGAGGGAUUGAGUCUACAUGACACUCAAAGAGGC